This 254-nucleotide ribosomal RNA is filed under the name uncultured bacterium. RNAcentral describes it as "partial 16S ribosomal RNA". It matches the Rfam family "Bacterial small subunit ribosomal RNA", at positions 524 to 776 of the family's 1533-position model. The record is from RNAcentral.
GACGAACCGUGCGAACGUUAUUCGGAAUCACUGGGCUUAAAGCGCGUGUAGGCGGGUGGGUACGUCGGCCACUGAAAGCCCCCGGCUCAACCGGGGAAGGGGUGCCGAAACGGCCGGCCUGGAGGGGCGUAGGGGGACCUGGAACUUCCGGUGGAGCGGUGAAAUGCGUUGAGAUCGGAAGGAACGCCCGUGGCGAAAGCGAGGUCCUGGACGCCAACUGACGCUGAGACGCGAAAGCCAGGGGAGCAAACAGG